UUCAGAUGAAUAUUGUAUUUAUUUCCUGUUUCAGAUGUCAUUGUGCCCCAACAGACGGACUUAUGCACUACGCUGGGCAACAAGUGGAAAUGGAUCAGGAUGAACAGCACCACAUUGAGAACAGCGCUGAGAACCCCCAGGACUAGAACCACGGUUCCACACACCCCACUGCAGAACCGUCCCGCAGGAAGAGAACCUGCUAAUGCAAGUGCAGACAGAUUACAGGUUACCUGAGUGGAGUCCAUCUUUGUGUUUGGUCAGAACCAGAACUAGAACCACGAGGAUCAAAGCAGCGCUGAGGACCCCCAGAGCCAACACCACAGAUGUACACACACCACUGAGGGAGCAGCCUGUAAGAUACACACACACACACACACACACACA
Alosa sapidissima (American shad) is the source of this 384-nucleotide long non-coding RNA. RefSeq lists it as uncharacterized. The record is from RefSeq and is a predicted model, not a curated record. NCBI's taxonomy places the organism in Eukaryota, Metazoa, Chordata, Actinopteri, Clupeiformes, Clupeidae. The transcript is spliced from 3 exons.